Dermacentor albipictus is the source of this 646-nucleotide non-coding RNA. Lineage: Eukaryota; Metazoa; Arthropoda; Arachnida; Ixodida; Ixodidae. The record is from RefSeq and is a predicted model, not a curated record.
UGCAAGCAUCUCACUGGUAGAUGAAGAAGAGGACAGACCCAAGUUCCGAUGUCGUCGACCGAUGAAGAUACAUAUGCGUACACUGCCAACACGUCGUCAGACGACCAGCUCCGUUAUGCUGAAGGGAACAGCGUGAAGGACUACGAGCGCCGAACCUCAAACCUGGGCUACCAAAGCGGUCACCAGCAUCCCGUUGUACCGACAUCAACAGCAGCAAGAAUCCCGGCGCAGGUGAAUGGGUUCUGUGGCUCAGCGCGGGACAACCGCGUAGUGACGAGGCCAGCAUUGGCCGCACAGGAGGCCUGGAUCUCUAGCGACUACUUCACCGCUCGGGAUACAAGCAAGCAGCCUACUUCCGCGCGAACUAAAGCUUUUGAUGUGGCUACCCAGGGCGUCUCAGCUGGGCAAGGAGUCCAGGAACAGGGACGCUCCGUCUUCGGGAUGCCCGCACGCACUUUCAGCCUCUACACCAUCCUGAUGAUCACCUUCGUGGCGGCGCUCAUUUACAUCUACGUACUGUUUCGAUCGGACCCAGCUCGGCCACUGAUAGCCAAAAAACUCGGCAGGUUUGCCAACGACACUAUUUCCGGUGUCGAAUGACGGAAGCAUUGUUACUGAAGUGGAUGAAGUGAUUUGUUGCACUUGC